This 450-nucleotide ribosomal RNA is filed under the name uncultured bacterium. RNAcentral's name for it is "bacterial SSU rRNA". It matches the Rfam family "Bacterial small subunit ribosomal RNA", at positions 354 to 796 of the family's 1533-position model. The record is from RNAcentral.
GUGGGGAAUAUUGGACAAUGGGCGAAAGCCUGAUCCAGCCAUGCCGCGUGUGUGAAGAAGGUCUUCGGAUUGUAAAGCACUUUAAGUUGGGAGGAAGGGCAGUAAGUUAAUACCUUGCUGUUUUGACGUUACCGACAGAAUAAGCACCGGCUAACUUCGUGCCAGCAGCCGCGGUAAUACGAAGGGUGCAAGCGUUAAUCGGAAUUACUGGGCGUAAAGCGCGCGUAGGUGGUUCAGCAAGUUGGAGGUGAAAUCCCCGGGCUCAACCUGGGAACUGCCUCCAAAACUACUGAGCUAGAGUACGGUAGAGGGUAGUGGAAUUUCCUGUGUAGCGGUGAAAUGCGUAGAUAUAGGAAGGAACACCAGUGGCGAAGGCGACUACCUGGACUGAUACUGACACUGAGGUGCGAAAGCGUGGGGAGCAAACAGGAUUAGAUACCCGAGUAGUCC